This 877-nucleotide ribosomal RNA is filed under the name uncultured bacterium. RNAcentral's name for it is "bacterial SSU rRNA". It matches the Rfam family "Bacterial small subunit ribosomal RNA", at positions 1 to 890 of the family's 1533-position model. The record is from RNAcentral.
GGCUAGAGUUUGAUCAUGGCUCAGGACGAACGCUGGCGGCGCGCCUAACACAUGCAAGUCGAACGGAAUGCGGAGGGGAUUUAUCUUUUCUGUGUUUAGUGGCGAACGGGUGAGUAACGCGUGAGGAACCUGCCUCAAAGAGGGGGACAACAGUUGGAAACGACUGCUAAUACCGCAUAAGCCCACGGGGCCGCAUGGCUCUGAGGGAAAAGGAGCAAUCCGCUUUGAGAUGGCCUCGCGUCCGAUUAGCUGGUUGGUGAGGUAAUGGCCCACCAAGGCGACGAUCGGUAGCCGGACUGAGAGGUUGAACGGCCACAUUGGGACUGAGACACGGCCCAGACUCCUACGGGAGGCAGCAGUGGGGAAUAUUGCACAAUGGGGGAAACCCUGAUGCAGCGACGCCGCGUGGAGGAAGAAGGUCUUCGGAUUGUAAACUCCUGUUGUUGGGGAAAAGAAGGAUGGUACCCAACGAGGAAGUGACGGCUAACUACGUGCCAGCAGCCGCGGUAAAACGUAGGUCACGAGCGUUGUCCGGAAUUACUGGGUGUAAAGGGAGCGCAGGCGGGUAUGCAAGUUGGGAGUGAAAUGCAUGGGCUCAACCCAUGAACUGCUCUCAAAACUGUGUAUCUUGAGUAGUGCAGAGGUAGGCGGAAUUCCCGGUGUAGCGGUGGAAUGCGUAGAUAUCGGGAGGAACACCAGUGGCGAAGGCGGCCUACUGGGCACCAACUGACGCUGAGGCUCGAAAGUGUGGGUAGCAAACAGGAUUAGAUACCCUGGUAGUCCACACCGUANACGAUGAUUACUAGGUGUUGGAGGAUAGACCCCUUCAGUGCCGCAGUUAACACAAUAAGUAAUCCACCUGGGGAGUACGACCGCA